This 505-nucleotide ribosomal RNA is filed under the name Chloroflexota bacterium. Its description in RNAcentral is "bacterial LSU rRNA". It matches the Rfam family "Bacterial large subunit ribosomal RNA", at positions 2424 to 2925 of the family's 2925-position model. The record is from RNAcentral. Lineage: Bacteria; Bacillati; Chloroflexota.
UGGUUCUGUAUGGAAGGGCCAUCGCUCAACGGAUAAAAGGUACUCCGGGGAUAACAGGCUGAUACCGCCCAAGAGUUCAUAUCGACGGCGGUGUUUGGCACCUCGAUGUCGGCUCAUCUCAUCCUAGGGCUGAAGCAGGUCCUAAGGGUAUGGCUGUUCGCCAUUUAAAGAGGUACGCGAGCUGGGUUUAGAACGUCGUGAGACAGUUCGGUCCCUAUCUACCGUGGGCGUUGGAAAUUUGAGAGGAUCUGCUCCUAGUACGAGAGGACCGGAGUGGACGAACCAAUAGUGUGCCGGUUGUGGCGCCAGCUGCAUUGCCGGGUAGCCAUGUUCGGAAGGGAUAAACGCUGAAAGCAUCUAAGUGUGAAGCCCACCUCAAGAUGAGAUGUCCCACCCCGAUUCGUCGGGGGUAAGACCUCCGGUAGACUACCGGUUAGAUAGGUCACGUGUGUAAUAACAGUAAUGUUUUUAGCUAAGUGAUACUAAUUGGUCGAGGGCUUGACCC